UACGUAGGGACCAAGCGUUGUUCGGAUUUACUGGGCGUAAAGGGCGCGUAGGCGGCCUAGCAAGUCACUUGUGAAAUCUCCGGGCUUAACUCGGAACUGCCAAGUGAAACUGCUGGGCUAGAGUGCAGAAGGGGCAAUCGGAAUUCUUGGUGUAGCGGUGAAAUGCGUAGAUAUCAAGAGGAACACCUGAGGUGAAGACGGGUUGCUGGGCUGACACUGACGCUGAUGCGCGAAAGCUAGGGUAGCAAACGGG
RNAcentral lists this ribosomal RNA (253 nucleotides) under uncultured bacterium. Its description in RNAcentral is "partial 16S ribosomal RNA". It matches the Rfam family "Bacterial small subunit ribosomal RNA", at positions 524 to 776 of the family's 1533-position model. The record is from RNAcentral.